Carcharodon carcharias (great white shark) is the source of this 885-nucleotide long non-coding RNA. RefSeq lists it as uncharacterized. The transcript has 2 exons. NCBI's taxonomy places the organism in Eukaryota, Metazoa, Chordata, Chondrichthyes, Lamniformes, Lamnidae. The record is from RefSeq and is a predicted model, not a curated record.
UGUUUCUUGGCCGGUUGGCAAGAUACUGCGUUACAUUUAAGCGCCCACGGGUUGUUUAAGGGAGGUUCUUUCUAUAUUUGCGAUUACCCUGGCAAUAUGUCUCCGGGCUGUAAGAGAGCAACAUCGCCUCAGACUCUGAAAUAGCCAGCCACAAAUUCAGCAACCCCCGCCCACCCAUCUCAGUUCUUACGUCUAGGCUGGGAAGUACUUCCUCUGCACAAGGGCAGAAUGGUGACAUUUUCAUUUCUUACUAUCGGGUUCUACGUUCAACCUUGGCCCCUCCUAGUCUCGACUGUUCCAGUAAAAACGCCUUGGGGGACAAUGAAGUGCCUUUGAACCCCCGUGAUAUGCAAGGUUUUUCUAGAUUCUGAAAUUCUGAAUGCUCCGUUCAGAGGGUAAAAACGGGAAAAGGCAGCUUGAGGGAAAUGGACCUUGCUCCUUGAAAGCAACUGUUUGACUUCUGCUCACCACCUAACUCCAGACUGUAAAUCUUAGAACUUAGUGCAUAAGGAAUUGCAGCUAUAAAGCCACAUUUUACUAUGCUGCCACACCCUGGAAAACUACCUUUCAGCAGUAUCAUAAUUAUAUAUUUCACAAGCAAAAAAGUAUCAUGUUUUCAGAACAAUUACAUUUUUAUUCCUUUUUUUGCUUCGUUUGCUGACUUGCUUGUGGAAUCUUUGCGGAAUUCAGCAUUUUUAAAAAUGCCUACAUUUCAAAAAGCAUGCACCAGCCAGAUAUACUGAAGGAGUUGUACUGUAUUAAAUUGCACCAACAUUGAGAGCAGUGGUUUCCCAGACUUUUUGGUUGAAGGAUCUGUUUCAAAUGGAUCAAAAAUCAUGGGCAGCUCCAUCUAAAAUGUACAAUAAAAAAGUAAUAAUAAGAAAA